Molecule: non-coding RNA, 159 nt
Filed under: bovine gut metagenome
Source: RNAcentral
UCAAUGGUUUUUCGUCAAGAAAAUUAAAAAGGAAUCCAGUCAAAGUCUGGAACUGACGCGCAGCGGUAGAAGGGACGCUUGUACGUUAUACACUGGCAUCUGCCGGGAAGUGGUAUUAAGCGGUUAGUCACCUUUGAGUCCGAAGACUUGCCUGACAGC